UGGGGAAUAUUGCACAAUGGGGGGAACCCUGAUGCAGCGACGCCGCGUGAGCGAUGAAGUAUUUCGGUAUGUAAAGCUCUAUCAGCAGGGAAGAAAAUGACGGUACCUGACUAAGAAGCCCCGGCUAACUACGUGCCAGCAGCCGCGGUAAUACGUAGGGGGCAAGCGUUAUCCGGAUUUACUGGGUGUAAAGGGAGCGUAGACGGCUGUGCAAGUCUGGAGUGAAAGGCAUGGGCUCAACCUGUGGACUGCUUUGGAAACUGUGCGGCUUGAGUGUCGGAGAGGCAAGUGGAAUUCCUAGUG
This 303-nucleotide ribosomal RNA is filed under the name uncultured bacterium. Its description in RNAcentral is "bacterial SSU rRNA". It matches the Rfam family "Bacterial small subunit ribosomal RNA", at positions 355 to 675 of the family's 1533-position model. The record is from RNAcentral.